This 449-nucleotide unclassified non-coding RNA is filed under the name Hevea brasiliensis (rubber tree). The record is from RNAcentral. Lineage: Eukaryota; Viridiplantae; Streptophyta; Magnoliopsida; Malpighiales; Euphorbiaceae.
AUUUAUAGGAUCAGCUUGUUUAGGAGAACCUGCUUCAGCUGCUAUAUCUUUAUCAUCCUCAUCUGAUGAUACUCCAGCUGGUUUGCUUUGUUCAACUUUAUUUUCAUCAGCAGCAUGAGCAUCAUUUUGUUCAACAGUUCCAGAUUGGCAAAUAGAGGCAACUAUUUCACUGUAAUCUUCUAAAGAAAUACCCAAAGAUUUCACAGCAUGUUGCAAGUAAGGCUUAACUUUGGUAGCACAACUUUCAAGUACUUUUUCUCCCAACUUACAUGCGACAGAUAGAACUUCCUCAUUGCCCCUUUUCACACUGGCUAAAAGAGGAGAAAGAAGUUCUAGAGAGAUGUCUUUCUUCUAAGACAAGGGUCAUAAUGAUCUCCAUGGAUGAAAAAAUAUUCUCUGAGUGAUCAUCCCUUAUAGCAUUAAGGAAAUGCUGGAACAUCUCAAUUAUC